RNAcentral lists this ribosomal RNA (500 nucleotides) under uncultured Myrionecta. RNAcentral's name for it is "bacterial SSU rRNA". It matches the Rfam family "Eukaryotic small subunit ribosomal RNA", at positions 1210 to 1796 of the family's 1831-position model. The record is from RNAcentral. Lineage: Eukaryota; Ciliophora; Litostomatea; Cyclotrichida; Mesodiniidae.
AAAACUUACCAGGUCAAGACAUGGGCGUGAUUGACAGGCUAAUGACUUUUCUCGAUUCCAUGGAUGGUGGUGCAUGGUCGCACUUAGUUGGUGCAGUGAUUUGUCAGGUUUAUUCCGGUAACGAACGAGACCUCGGCCUUGUAAAUAGCUAUGCUGCUUACAGGGACAUUGGCGGCUACGCCAAGGAAGCUCGAGGCAAUUGCAGAUCUGGAAUGCCCUUAGAUGUCCUGGGUCGCACGCGUGCUACAAUGACGCCACGAACGAGCUUGCGUGAUGAAAGUUACGCAUAAUCAGCAGUCGGCGUCUUAAGGGAUAGUCUCUUGUAACUGUGGGACUCCAACUAGGAAUGUCUCGUAAGCACAAGUCAACAUCUUGUGUUGAUUACGUCCCUGCUCUUUGUACACACCGCCCGUCGCUCCUACCGAUCGAGUGUUUAGGUGAAUUUGAUGGACGUAAGGAAGUCAAAUAAACCUGAGCACUAGAGAAGAGAAGUCGAGACC